RNAcentral lists this unclassified non-coding RNA (680 nucleotides) under Hevea brasiliensis (rubber tree). Lineage: Eukaryota; Viridiplantae; Streptophyta; Magnoliopsida; Malpighiales; Euphorbiaceae. The record is from RNAcentral.
CCCCAGCACAACAAAAACAAAGUAUGAUGACAGGCUUUUCUUUGUGAAAAAGCGAGCCAAAUAAAAGCCAGCGACUGAAGGCAGUGGAAGAAACAGUAUGGGAAAUCCCACAACGAUUGCUCCUGCAGCACUGACAAUUACAGUCAAGGCAGUGAAAGCUACAGAGCUGAAAGCAUCAGAAAUCAUACCCAGAGCAUAAGCACCAGCUCCAGCUGCCCCUCCAAGCAUUGUCAGGGUCACAAGAAGAUAAUUCAACGGUGGAGGAACCUGAAUGUACCUCCCAAAUGAAUGGAAAACAACUCUAAUCUCCAAACAGAGCACGGCCACUACCAAUGCAACAGCACCAUUUACAACACGUAUACUAUGAAUCUGAUGCGCAUUCUUAGUAAUCCACCAAAGAGCACCCCUCGUGGAUGCAUAAAGUUGGAACAAGAAAGGGAUGAAAAAGAGAAGAAACAAAUCACAAACAGAUGCAGCCGAAGAAAAUAUUACUGAAUAGUGAGACGCAAUAUGAAACACCAAAGGAAAGAAUAGCAAGUUCAAAGUAUGAAUACAACUCUCGAGAGGAGAGAGGAUGAAAUUAUCAUCAGGAACCUCUCCCCCGUGAUAUUUGGCUUCCUGUUUGGAUUUGAAGGAAGAAACCCGAGGAACUGCAAAAAGCCAAUAGAAAAUGCAAUUGA